CAGAGGGCAGAGCCAGAGAAGUGACCCAAGCCUUAUGGAGGAGCCCAGAACAUUAGAGAGGGCAUGUUGAAGCCAUGGGGAGCAGUAAGCAGCACCCUCCAUGGCCUCUGCAUCAGUCCCUGCCUCCAUUUGAGUUCCUAUUCUGACUUCCUUCGAUGAUGAACAGUGAUGUAAAAGUAUUCCAAGGAAGCCAUUUUCUUCAGUUCUGUGACCUGUGCUAGCAAACGGUUGGCCAUGAGGAGAGGAUUAUGGGAGCCCCCAACUGUUAGCUCACCAGCUCGAAGUAGAAGAGGCAACGGACAUUGGCUUGGUGUCUGCCGUAGCGAUGGUCUCUGAAGGACUGAACUUUACCACGUGGGCACUGAAAUACUGUUGGGUAGUUAGUACCAGAACUGAACGGAGUGUAGAGACGUUAGUUGGUGUCUGGCCUUGAGCUAUGGAGAUGAAUAAAACCCAAAGGCCCUCCUUCUCGUAUGCUGCAUAGAUUCCAGCUGGGAGAAAAGAAAACAAAAGAACAGGAGAUAAGAAACCAGCAUGCUGAAAACAAAAGCAAGGCAAUUUGAUGAAGAGGAAGAGGAAGGACCACACUUUUCCAAAUAUUUUCCUAGUAACUCGAGAUACCUUGCUCAUCAGGUGACAAUGGGGGAAGCCUUACCCGGAUGAUCAAAGUUUUAUCAACCACUCAGGGAAAGUAGCAACAGCUAUGCUAUGCUAU
Molecule: long non-coding RNA, 715 nt
Filed under: Cricetulus griseus (Chinese hamster)
Lineage: Eukaryota; Metazoa; Chordata; Mammalia; Rodentia; Cricetidae
Description: lncRNA (ENSCGRG00015036220.1)
Source: RNAcentral